Molecule: long non-coding RNA, 281 nt
Filed under: Setaria viridis
Lineage: Eukaryota; Viridiplantae; Streptophyta; Magnoliopsida; Poales; Poaceae
Description: long non-coding RNA (SVIR_LNC008534)
Source: RNAcentral
UGGCAGGCAGUGCUUUUCAGCUAAAGGUCAGCGCUCGCCGCUCACUUUACUGACAAAGGGUAAAGAUGGCCGCAGCCGCCGCGUCAGCAUCCAACAUGGCACCAGUUUGAAAGUUAGGAGGCGACACCUGUGAGACAAGUAGGUCUGGCUGGCGUAACCUGCCUUGUCUAGUCGCUCUUCUGUGUUGUCGCCACUCGCCACGUACGUACAACUGUAAGCUGAAAUCACUCUUGCUGCUAAAAACAUACUUUGGAGUUGGUCAUGGUCUUAACUCUUAAGUG